GUCAGAACGUCUACCUCCACCUGAUGAAUUAGCAUCUCCCAUCUUAUAGAAUCCAAUUGCACCAGUAACCUUUCUUUUAAAGGUAUCAGUCUCUCUACCAAGACUUCACAGCAAAGUCUAACUGCUUCACAGCUAGACUCAGAUGCAGUGCUCCCAGCAUUGUACCCUCCUUGAAUUAAACUCAAGGUGUCUGUUUGUAUAACUCGUACUUUAUCCAAG
Molecule: unclassified non-coding RNA, 219 nt
Filed under: Hevea brasiliensis (rubber tree)
Lineage: Eukaryota; Viridiplantae; Streptophyta; Magnoliopsida; Malpighiales; Euphorbiaceae
Source: RNAcentral